AGAAAAAAAGAGCCCAGAACGAUUCCUGUUCCGGGCUUAGGGGAAUGGCUCCUAAGAGCCUUGCGCUAACUGGUUAAAUUAAUCUUUAAACAUGAUUAACUUUAGACAGAAUGGUAUUUAAGUGCGUGUUUCAACAGU
RNAcentral lists this small RNA (138 nucleotides) under Veronia pacifica. The record is from RNAcentral. Lineage: Bacteria; Pseudomonadati; Pseudomonadota; Gammaproteobacteria; Vibrionales; Vibrionaceae.